RNAcentral lists this ribosomal RNA (253 nucleotides) under uncultured bacterium. RNAcentral describes it as "partial 16S ribosomal RNA". It matches the Rfam family "Bacterial small subunit ribosomal RNA", at positions 524 to 776 of the family's 1533-position model. The record is from RNAcentral.
UACGGGGGGGGCAAGCGUUGUUCGGAAUUACUGGGCGUAAAGGGCUCGUAGGCGGCUUUGUAAGUUAGAGGUGAAAGCCCGGGGCUCAACUCCGGAAUUGCCUUUAAGACUGCAUCGCUAGAAUCGUGGAGAGGUGAGUGGAAUUCCGAGUGUAGAGGUGAAAUUCGUAGAUAUUCGGAAGAACACCAGUGGCGAAGGCGACUCACUGGACACGUAUUGACGCUGAGGUGCGAAAGCGUGGGGAGCAAACAGG